Pongo abelii (Sumatran orangutan) is the source of this 117-nucleotide unclassified non-coding RNA. It matches the Rfam family "Metazoan signal recognition particle RNA". Rfam says of the family: The signal recognition particle (SRP) is a universally conserved ribonucleoprotein. The record is from Ensembl. Lineage: Eukaryota; Metazoa; Chordata; Mammalia; Primates; Hominidae.
GCCGGGCAGGAUGGCUCAUGCCUGUAAUCCCAGCACUUUGGGAGGCUGAGGUGGGUGGAUCACCUGAGGUCAGGAGCUCUAGACCAGCCUGGCCAAGAUGGUGAAACCCCGUCUCUA